Molecule: ribosomal RNA, 500 nt
Filed under: uncultured bacterium
Lineage: Bacteria
Description: partial 16S ribosomal RNA
Rfam family: Bacterial small subunit ribosomal RNA
Source: RNAcentral
AUUGAACGCUGGCGGCACGCCUAACACAUGCAAGUCGAGCGGUAGCAGGACCUGUAGCAAUACAGGUUGCUGACGAGCGGCGGACGGGUGAGGAAUACGUAGGAACCUGCCUUAUAGUGGGGGAUAACUAAGGGAAACUUUAGCUAAUACCGCAUAAUCUCGAGAGAGGAAAGCUGCCGCAAGGUGGCGCUAAAAGAGGGGCAUGCGUGCGAUUAGAGAGUUGGUGAGGUACGAGCUAACCAAGGCGAUGAGCGGUAACUGGUCUGAGAGGACGACCAGUCACACUGGGAGUGAGACACGGCCCAGACUCCUACGGGGGGCAGCAGUGGGGAACAUUGGAAAAUGGGGGAACCCUGAUCCAGCGAUGCCGCGUGAGUGAAGAAGGCCUUCGGGUCGUAAAGCCCUUUAGGUUGGGAAGAAGGGUGUUAGAGGAAAUGCUAAUACUUUGACGGUACCGACAGAAUAAGCACCGGCAAACUCUGUGCCAGCAGCCGCGGUAA